RNAcentral lists this ribosomal RNA (2904 nucleotides) under Escherichia coli. RNAcentral describes it as "23S ribosomal RNA". It matches the Rfam family "Bacterial large subunit ribosomal RNA". The record is from RNAcentral. Lineage: Bacteria; Pseudomonadati; Pseudomonadota; Gammaproteobacteria; Enterobacterales; Enterobacteriaceae.
GGUUAAGCGACUAAGCGUACACGGUGGAUGCCCUGGCAGUCAGAGGCGAUGAAGGACGUGCUAAUCUGCGAUAAGCGUCGGUAAGGUGAUAUGAACCGUUAUAACCGGCGAUUUCCGAAUGGGGAAACCCAGUGUGUUUCGACACACUAUCAUUAACUGAAUCCAUAGGUUAAUGAGGCGAACCGGGGGAACUGAAACAUCUAAGUACCCCGAGGAAAAGAAAUCAACCGAGAUUCCCCCAGUAGCGGCGAGCGAACGGGGAGCAGCCCAGAGCCUGAAUCAGUGUGUGUGUUAGUGGAAGCGUCUGGAAAGGCGCGCGAUACAGGGUGACAGCCCCGUACACAAAAAUGCACAUACUGUGAGCUCGAUGAGUAGGGCGGGACACGUGGUAUCCUGUCUGAAUAUGGGGGGACCAUCCUCCAAGGCUAAAUACUCCUGACUGACCGAUAGUGAACCAGUACCGUGAGGGAAAGGCGAAAAGAACCCCGGCGAGGGGAGUGAAAAAGAACCUGAAACCGUGUACGUACAAGCAGUGGGAGCCUCUUAAUGGGGUGACUGCGUACCUUUUGUAUAAUGGGUCAGCGACUUAUAUUCUGUAGCAAGGUUAACCGAAUAGGGGAGCCGAAGGGAAACCGAGUCUUAACUGGGCGUUAAGUUGCAGGGUAUAGACCCGAAACCCGGUGAUCUAGCCAUGGGCAGGUUGAAGGUUGGGUAACACUAACUGGAGGACCGAACCGACUAAUGUUGAAAAAUUAGCGGAUGACUUGUGGCUGGGGGUGAAAGGCCAAUCAAACCGGGAGAUAGCUGGUUCUCCCCGAAAGCUAUUUAGGUAGCGCCUCGUGAAUUCAUCUCCGGGGGUAGAGCACUGUUUCGGCAAGGGGGUCAUCCCGACUUACCAACCCGAUGCAAACUGCGAAUACCGGAGAAUGUUAUCACGGGAGACACACGGCGGGUGCUAACGUCCGUCGUGAAGAGGGAAACAACCCAGACCGCCAGCUAAGGUCCCAAAGUCAUGGUUAAGUGGGAAACGAUGUGGGAAGGCCCAGACAGCCAGGAUGUUGGCUUAGAAGCAGCCAUCAUUUAAAGAAAGCGUAAUAGCUCACUGGUCGAGUCGGCCUGCGCGGAAGAUGUAACGGGGCUAAACCAUGCACCGAAGCUGCGGCAGCGACACUAUGUGUUGUUGGGUAGGGGAGCGUUCUGUAAGCCUGCGAAGGUGUACUGUGAGGUAUGCUGGAGGUAUCAGAAGUGCGAAUGCUGACAUAAGUAACGAUAAAGCGGGUGAAAAGCCCGCUCGCCGGAAGACCAAGGGUUCCUGUCCAACGUUAAUCGGGGCAGGGUGAGUCGACCCCUAAGGCGAGGCCGAAAGGCGUAGUCGAUGGGAAACAGGUUAAUAUUCCUGUACUUGGUGUUACUGCGAAGGGGGGACGGAGAAGGCUAUGUUGGCCGGGCGACGGUUGUCCCGGUUUAAGCGUGUAGGCUGAUUUUCCAGGCAAAUCCGGAAAAUCAAGGCUGAGGCGUGAUGACGAGGCACUACGGUGCUGAAGCAACAAAUGCCCUGCUUCCAGGAAAAGCCUCUAAGCAUCAGGUAACAUCAAAUCGUACCCCAAACCGACACAGGUGGUCAGGUAGAGAAUACCAAGGCGCUUGAGAGAACUCGGGUGAAGGAACUAGGCAAAAUGGUGCCGUAACUUCGGGAGAAGGCACGCUGAUAUGUAGGUGAAGUCCCUUGCGGAUGGAGCUGAAAUCAGUCGAAGAUACCAGCUGGCUGCAACUGUUUAUUAAAAACACAGCACUGUGCAAACACGAAAGUGGACGUAUACGGUGUGACGCCUGCCCGGUGCCGGAAGGUUAAUUGAUGGGGUUAGCGGUAACGCGAAGCUCUUGAUCGAAGCCCCGGUAAACGGCGGCCGUAACUAUAACGGUCCUAAGGUAGCGAAAUUCCUUGUCGGGUAAGUUCCGACCUGCACGAAUGGCGUAAUGAUGGCCAGGCUGUCUCCACCCGAGACUCAGUGAAAUUGAACUCGCUGUGAAGAUGCAGUGUACCCGCGGCAAGACGGAAAGACCCCGUGAACCUUUACUAUAGCUUGACACUGAACAUUGAGCCUUGAUGUGUAGGAUAGGUGGGAGGCUUUGAAGUGUGGACGCCAGUCUGCAUGGAGCCGGCCUUGAAAUACCACCCUUUAAUGUUUGAUGUUCUAACGUUGGCCCCUGAUCGGGGUUGCGGACAGUGUCUGGUGGGUAGUUUGACUGGGGCGGUCUCCUCCUAAAGAGUAACGGAGGAGCACGAAGGUUGGCUAAUCCUGGUCGGACAUCAGGAGGUUAGUGCAAUGGCAUAAGCCAGCUUGACUGCGAGCGUGACGGCGCGAGCAGGUGCGAAAGCAGGUCAUAGUGAUCCGGUGGUUCUGAAUGGAAGGGCCAUCGCUCAACGGAUAAAAGGUACUCCGGGGAUAACAGGCUGAUACCGCCCAAGAGUUCAUAUCGACGGCGGUGUUUGGCACCUCGAUGUCGGCUCAUCACAUCCUGGGGCUGAAGUAGGUCCCAAGGGUAUGGCUGUUCGCCAUUUAAAGUGGUACGCGAGCUGGGUUUAGAACGUCGUGAGACAGUUCGGUCCCUAUCUGCCGUGGGCGCUGGAGAACUGAGGGGGGCUGCUCCUAGUACGAGAGGACCGGAGUGGACGCAUCACUGGUGUUCGGGUUGUCAUGCCAAUGGCACUGCCCGGUAGCUAAAUGCGGAAGAGAUAAGUGCUGAAAGCAUCUAAGCACGAAACUUGCCCCGAGAUGAGUUCUCCCUGACUCCUUGAGAGUCCUGAAGGAACGUUGAAGACGACGACGUUGAUAGGCCGGGUGUGUAAGCGCAGCGAUGCGUUGAGCUAACCGGUACUAAUGAACCGUGAGGCUUAACCUU